UAAAGAUAAAGAUACUAAAGUGAGGCCAUCAGAGCCCUUAGGUGAGGUCAGAGUCCUCAGGUGAGGUCAUCAGAGCCCUCAGGUGAGGUCAAAGUUCACAGGUUUGGUCAUCAGAAUCCUCGAGUCAGGUCAGAGACCACAGGUGAGGUCAUCAGAGCCCUCAGGUGAGGUCAAAGUCCACAGGUGAGGUCAUCAGAGCCCUCAGGUGAGGUCAAAGUUCACAGGUUUGGUCAUCAGAGUCCUCGAGUCAGGUCAGAGCCCUCAGGUGAGGUCAAAGUUCACAGGUUUGGUCAUCAGAGUCCUCGAGUCAGGUCAGAGUCCACAGGUGAGGUCAUCAGAGCCCUCUGGUGAGGUCAAAGUCCACAGGUGAGGUCAUCAGAGCCCUCAGGUGACGUCAAAGUCCACAGGUUUGGUCAUCAGAGUCCUCGAGUCAGGUCAGAGUCCACAGGUUAAGUCAUCAGGUCCUCAGGUGAGGUCAUCAAAGUCUUCGGGUGAUGUCAAAUUCCUCAGGUGAGGUCAGAGUCCUCAGGUCAGGUCAUCAGAGGCCUCAGCUUUCUCUCAGGUCAGAGAAACAACAAAUACUGAAGCUUCACAAGCUUAGUAAAACAUGCCAAAUAAGUAGGAAUCAAACUUCUCUGUAAACAUUAAGUGCAAACACUAUGUAAAAUAAAGCUGCUGAAACUCUGACUCAACAAAUUAUGAGGCUUCAGCAGCUUAGUAAAACAUUCCACAUAAAUGGGAAUCAAACUUCUCUGUGAACAUUUAGU
This is a long non-coding RNA of Epinephelus fuscoguttatus (brown-marbled grouper), 767 nucleotides long. RefSeq lists it as uncharacterized. The transcript has 3 exons. The record is from RefSeq and is a predicted model, not a curated record. Lineage: Eukaryota; Metazoa; Chordata; Actinopteri; Perciformes; Serranidae.